AGCAGCCGCGGUAAUUCCAGCUCCAAUAGCGUAUAUUAAAGUUGCUGCAGUUAAAAAGCUCGUAGUUGAAUUUCGGGACUAAUAUGUCGGUCGUGCCUCGGUACGUACUGGUAUUUUUGGUUUCUCCCUUCUGACGAACCUUGAUGUCAUUAAUUUGGUGUCUUGGGAAAUCAGGACUGUUACUUUGAAAAAAUUAGAGUGUUUAAAGCAGGCUCACGCUUGAAUACAUUAGCAUGGAAUAAUGAAAUAGGACGUUUGAUUCUAUUUUGUUGGUUUCUAGGAUCGACGUAAUGAUUAAUAGGGAUAGUUGGGGGCAUUAGUAUUCAAUUGUCAGAGGUGAAAUUCUUGGAUUUAUUGAAGACUAACUACUGCGAAAGCAUUUGCCAAGGAUGUUUUCAUUAAUCAAGAACGAAAGUUAGGGGAUCGAAGACGAUCAGAUACCGUCGUAGUCUUAACCAUAAACUAUGCCGACUAGGGAUCGGAUGAUGUUAAUUUUUUAAUGUACUCA
RNAcentral lists this ribosomal RNA (508 nucleotides) under uncultured Glomeraceae. RNAcentral's name for it is "SSU rRNA". It matches the Rfam family "Eukaryotic small subunit ribosomal RNA", at positions 569 to 1082 of the family's 1831-position model. The record is from RNAcentral. Lineage: Eukaryota; Fungi; Glomeromycota; Glomeromycetes; Glomerales; Glomeraceae.